UUCCCUUCGGGGAGCAAGUAGAGUGGCGCACGGGUGAGUAACACGUAGGUAAUCUACCUUUGGAUGGGGAAUAACAACCGGAAACGGUUGCUAAUACCGCAUAAUGCAGCGGCACCUAAUGGUGACAGUUGUUAAAGCGGGGGAUCGCAAGACCUCGCGUCUAAAGAGGAGCCUGCGGCAGAUUAGCUAGUUGGUAAGGUAACGGCUUACCAAGGCGAUGAUCUGUAGCCGGCCUGAGAGGGCGGUCGGCCACACUGACACUGACAUACGGGUCAGACUCCUACGGGAGGCAGCAGUCGGGAAUUUUGGGCAAUGGGCGAAAGCCUGACCCAGCAACGCCGCGUGAAGGAUGAAAUCCCUCGGGAUGUAAACUUCGCAAGAACGGGAAGAAUAAGUAAGAGUUAAUAUCUCUUACGAUGACGGUACUGUUUGUAAGCUCCGGCUAACUCCGUGCCAGCAGCCGCGGUAAUACGGGGGGAGCAAGCGUUGUUCGGAUUUACUGGGCGUAAAGGGCGCGUAGGCGGCCUCUGCAAGUCGACUGUGAAAUCUCCGGGCUUAACCCGGAAAGGUCAGCCGAUACUGCAGGGCUAGAGUGCAGAAGGGGCAACUGGAAUUCUCGGUGUAGCGGUGAAAUGCGUAGAUAUCGAGAGGAACACCUGCGGCGAAGGCGGGUUGCUGGGCUGACACUGACGCUGAGGCGCGAAAGCUAGGGGAGCGAACGGGAUUAGAUACCCCGGUAGUCCUAGCCUUAAACGAUGAGUGCUUGGUGUCUGGGGUUUUAUAGUCCCCGGGUGCCGUCGCUAACGCUUUAAGCAUUCCGCCUGGGGAGUACGGUCGCAAGACUG
Molecule: ribosomal RNA, 845 nt
Filed under: uncultured Bacillota bacterium
Lineage: Bacteria; Bacillati; Bacillota
Description: bacterial SSU rRNA
Rfam family: Bacterial small subunit ribosomal RNA
Source: RNAcentral